CUUUUCUUCUAAUCACAUCAUCUAGCUCCUGUGGGACAGCUGAAUAGAAAAUUAUAAUCUAUUAGAUUGUGCUAUAAUUAACAGGGGAGCAGCUUUUACAGACCUGAAUUUAAAAUGUGCCAAGGAAGGCAAUUCUAAGUGCUUCCACAAGAGAAUAAUCUUUCUCAGUGGUUCUUUGGAUUCUGACCAAGACCCUCGAAUAGGAUAAAUCCAAAAUCACAGCUCUACAGCAGUAGCUGAGAAGUGGUUGUUUGGAGGAUGUAAUCUCUAUGGCAACCUUGUGCUUGAAGAGAGUUCUUUGUAGAUUACAUCAAUCAUAUAAAUUUCCUUGAUGGGUGAUGUAAUGGGUUUUCAUAUUCAUUUUCUAUUUCUUUAUUUUGUGCAGAUGAUGAUGUAAAAGGCUGAACUAAAAAUAACAACUGAUCUUACAUAUACCAUUCCUCUGCUGCAUUGGUAUGUCACAGCUGUGAUCUCCACAGGAUGAUGAAGAGGUUGAAAUGUCAUUGGCACAAAACUGCAAAAUGGUGAAAACUUACCCAGUGUCUCCUUUUUCAUGUAUGACAAACUGUCAAGAUAUAGUAAUGAAGGGAGAAGAGCUUGAUAAAGAUCCAAAGUACAGUUUGGACU
RNAcentral lists this long non-coding RNA (627 nucleotides) under Macaca mulatta (Rhesus monkey). RNAcentral describes it as "lncRNA (ENSMMUG00000046567.2)". The record is from RNAcentral. Lineage: Eukaryota; Metazoa; Chordata; Mammalia; Primates; Cercopithecidae.